This is an RNA transcript of Carya illinoinensis, 5023 nucleotides long. It is a transcript of the gene named putative wall-associated receptor kinase-like 16, with no coding region annotated. NCBI's taxonomy places the organism in Eukaryota, Viridiplantae, Streptophyta, Magnoliopsida, Fagales, Juglandaceae. The transcript has 4 exons. The record is from RefSeq and is a predicted model, not a curated record.
AAGCAAUGACUGUUUCUUUUAUAUGCAGGGGAUAGUGUGGGGUGCUGAACUGGUCUUCAUCCCAUGCAUAUGCCUAUAUAUUAAGCAAAGACUUGUUAAUUUCUAGGAGGAGGCUCCAAUUAAGCACUUGCGAACGCAAUAGAGAAUAACAUUUAUCUUUUUGAAAAAGGCUAUAGCCAUGGGAGUACUCUCGAAGCUUUUGCAGUUAAUCUCAUUCAUUGGAGUGAUACAGCUAAUUGCGAUGGUUGCAGCAGCGGCAGCUCAACCCAAGCCUGGCUGCCUCGAAAAGUGUGGGAAUGUAACAAUUCCAUAUCCAUUUGGCUUGAGUGAAGGAUGCUACUUGGAGAAGUCUUUCAACAUCCGUUGUAAUGACUCUGAUCUUACGGCAAAGACCGGGAACGUCCUUGUUACGAACAUAUCCAUUGAGGAUCAUGAAAUACAUGUCAAGGCACGUGAAGCCCGAGACUGUUACAAUGCGUCGGGUUCCAUUGAAUUCAAUAAUACGACCUGGUUUCGUGCAGGCAAGUUCACCAUUUCUACAACCAAAAACCAGUUCACUGUUCUUGGCUGUGACACUGCGGGCAUUAUUCGUUGGGAGGAAAAUGAAAAAAUAUACUCGACAGGGUGCAGAUCUCGAUGUAAUGACCUAAGCACUGCGGUCAACGGGUCUUGCUCUGGCGUUGGGUGUUGCAACGUAGAGUUUCCAGAUGGCUUGAAAAAUUAUAAUCUGAGUGUGUCCAGCUUUAAAAAUCACACAAACAUAUGGAACUUCAAUCCUUGCAGCUAUGCUUUUAUCGUCGAAAAAGGAAAGUUCAACUUCUCCACGGAUUAUCUUCAGAAACGGGAACGGGAAAGGCGUCCAAUGGUACUUGAUUGGGCAGUUGGGGACGAAAGAUGCGAAGAAGCUCGGAGAAAACCGAAUUUCGCAUGUCAGGAUCAGAAUAGUGAAUGCCAUGAUCCAAAAACGAGGUCGGGGUACCAGUGCAAGUGCAAGCUGGGUUACCAAGGGAACCCAUACCUCCCUCUCGGUUGCCAAGAUAUAAACGAAUGUGAGGAUGCUACUCUCAAUAAAUGCAAAAGAGCACAAGAUUGUGAAAACACAAAGGGCAGCCAUAUAUGUCGUUGCCCCAAGUGGUACCAUGGUGAUGGAACAAAAGAUGGGGAAGGUUGUGCUCCGGAUUUCGUACUUAUGAUUCAGAUUGCCAUUGGAGCUGGAGUAGGCUUUAUUUCUCUGCUUGUGUUUAGCUCUUGGAUGUACUUCGUACUCAAGAAAAGAAAGAUUGUCAAGCUCAGAGAGAAGUUCUUCCAACAGAAUGGAGGCUUGAUUUUACAACAACGGCUCGGCCAACAAGAAGGAUCCACAGAAACAGUCAAAAUCUUUACCGUAGAUGAGCUGAAGAAGGCUACCAAAAACUAUGAUGAGAGCAGGAUAAUUGGCCGAGGAGGUUUUGGUACCGUUUACAAAGGUUUUUUAGCGGAUAAUAAGAUUGUUGCCAUAAAGAAGUCCAGGAUAGAAGAUGAAAACCAAAUUGAGCAAUUCAUCAACGAGGUUGUUGUGCUCUCCCAAAUUAAUCAUAGGCAUGUUGUCAAACUCUUGGGAUGUUGUUUAGAGACACAAGUUCCUUUGCUUGUCUACGAAUUUGUCUCAAAUGGUACCCUUUUUAAGUACAUUCAUCAGGAAAGCAAUGCGUCCACAUUUCCAUGGGAAACCCGCUUGAGGAUAGCUGCAGAAACAUCUGAGGCACUAUGGUAUCUACACUCUACAGCCUCAAUACCUAUAAUUCACAGGGAUGUAAAAUCAACAAAUAUAUUGCUUGAUGAUGAUUUCACUGCAAAAGUUUCAGACUUUGGAACUUCAAGAUUGGUUCCGAGAGAUCAAGCGCAACUUGCCACUGUAGUGCAAGGAACUCUUGGAUACUUGGAUCCUGAAUACUUGCAAACAAACCAAUUGACAGAGAAAAGUGAUGUCUAUAGCUUUGGAGUGGUGCUAGUGGAGCUACUUACAGGAAAGGAGGCACUGUCAUUUGCUAGGUCCGAGGAGCAAAGAAGUCUGGCCAUGUAUUUUAUUUCUUCCAUAAAAGAGGAAAGAUUGUUUGAAAUUCUUGAAAAUCACAUAGUUGCAGAAGGAAAUAAGGAUCAAAUCCAACAAUUUGUGGAGCUUGCAAGGAGCUGCUUAGCAGUAAAAGGGGAUGAGAGGCCUACAAUGAGGGAAGUAGCAAUGGAAUUAGAAGGAAUAAGAAAGAUGCAGAAGCAUCCCUGGGUUAACUUGGAAGCAAAUUCGGAAGAGGUCGAAUACUUGCUUGGUGAGGCAUGCGAGGCUAACAAAUAUGGGGAAAGUAGUAUUACUAUAACUACUGCAUAUUAUCAUAGCAUGAAUGACCAUGGAACAUACGCCUUGGGAGAUGGAAGAUGAAUGUUUUAUGCUAACCUAUAUGGAUCUUGAAGGCAUUUCCUUAUCCUGCAUAUAUGCAAUUUCCUGCUUUUAUUCUGAAUGCGCAUUCCCUUCUACCGGUAUCGGUAUGACACGUCCUUAAUUUGUAGUUGUUAUUUAAUGUGAUUGGCGAAUCUGCAGUAAGUGCUUGUUUUUCUUGUGUUUUGUUGUUGUUGUUGUUGUUUGUGUGUUUCAUUCUUCCUCUUAUGACAUUGCCUUCUUGUUUUUUAUAUGUUCCUACAGUUGUAAUAUUUUAAGUUGCUGAACUGCUUAUAUUGUCAUACUGCUCUGCAUACAUAUCUUCUGUUAUUUAUACUUGAUUGACAUUCUGCAUGCUUCAAGUUGUCUUGAGAGAUAAAUAAAUAAACAAAAACUUACUUCUUCGACUGCAUGGAAUGCUUAGUUGACAUAAUGCUUUCCGUUCAGUCAUGGAACUUCUGUGACUCUGUCCAAAGGGUUUAGUUGACCGUAUUAUUCAUAUUGAUCAGACUAGACUUCCCUUUUAAUGAGUUUGUAUUACUCCAAAAACAUGCAAUAUAUAAUGAAUCUCGAACAGAGCAUCCUAUAGAUUUUAAGUUCAAAUUAAUUCACAUAAGAACUAGCUCCCACACACACACACACACACACACAUAUAUGGCCUAAUCCUCUUCAAGAUUAAACAAAAGUACAAGCUUUGAUGAGGACAUAGAGCACAAAGAAGCCUAACACUCCAGAUCUUUAAACACUUCCUACUAAAAUUCCUUAACAUUAAUAUGAAAAAAAAAGACUUAAAAUAGUCUUCACACGCUCAAUCUGCGCAUAAAAGUUAUAAAAAUCUACAGAGUCAACCAUCAAGUGAAUGGACAAAGAGGCAAAAUAAUUGAGCUGCACAUGUAUUCAGCAUCUCCUUAAACAUUCAGUAGUCAUCGUAAUUCUUGUUCAAGAAUUCAGCAAAAUAAAAGUUCAAUUACGCCAUACUGCAAUAUUGUGCAGCUAAUUAUAGUGGAUGUAUUUCCCCGGAAAGUUUUUGUUCAUUCAGUGAUUCUUGGCUGAUAUUGUAUGUCUUCAUGAUGUAUCACGUAACCAUGUGAAAGGAAUGGUUGCACUAGCAGAAGAAACUCAGUAUGGAACAUGCAAAAUACUAUCAGCUGACUUAAAAAAUAGUGAGUAAAAUGAAGUGUGAGCAUUAUUUUUCCAUUAUAUGAAGCCAAUGCUUUACUCAAAUCCAAGAUAUCACCUCUAGAGAUCACUGCCAUACCAAGAACGAGAUACUACAAUAUAUGUGUAAUAAAGUGGCGCCCAAAGUUGGCACUUGGCACCCCUUCCUCUUCAUAUGUCCACGUAUGAAGUGGCUAUUAACGGGUAACAAUUGGAGAGGCUAUAUAUAGCCUCUCCUCCCUUAGAGGUUGGGGCCUCGUGGACUAAAGUCAAAAACCUCUCUCUCAAAUAUUUAGGUUCUCUCUGAUCCCAGUAUCAGGCUGUGCACUCUGAUCUAGAAUUUCUAACAUCAUGAUAAGUUUUAUUUCAUUUUUCGGAGAAAAAUAUGAUCUAUAAGAGCAUAACGUUGAAGAUUAAUAAAAAAGACCUUCGGUAGGCCAGGUCUUGCAGCCUGAUGGCAUUACGUACUCACCUUCGAACAUGUUGUGGUCGAAUGCCCAAAUACCUUACAGGAUUUGCAAAUUUCAUAGUCCCUCUAUAAUGAAGGAUAUCUGGAAAUCGAAAUCCCCCUUCCCCACAAUUCCCUUAUAAAAAAUUGAUUAGUUCAUCACCAUAUAUAGUGGUAGUUGGCAUCAUGAGAGAAAAGCCUCUCCAAAAGGAGAAUACAAAACUAUAUCCUGAAAUCGCCCUCUACAAAGUUGUUCCGUUUUGAAUGCAAAUCUCAACUAUCUUUACAACUGAGUACUUACUAUAUCUGCUGCCAAAGUGAAAUAAAUCUACAAGGGUGCGAAUCUGUUCGUACGAUGUCAGAUUGAUAUAAAGACUAGUUUGCGAAACUCUGCAGGCUUCCUUCUCUUUAGUGCAAUUCUAAAACUGCCUUUCUUACAGUUUAGAGGGAGGCGUACGUCGAAUUGAAGUUCUUCAGAUCGCGACUAGUUCUUACCAUCUGAGGAAGGGAGGUUUCUGUUGGCCCUCCAGGUAGUAGAAGAUGAUGAAGUUAGAGAAUUGGUGCGUUUGGAGGGGGAUGAGGAAGGAGAGGGGAGCUUCUUAGGCAGCAUCUGUUCCCAAUAUUCCUUAGGCAAUCUUGAUGCUUCUGAAAGAACAAUGGAAGCAAGAAGAGUCAAGAGCAAGCACUUCACUAACAUCAUGUUGAAGAACACUGAUCAACAAAUCGCCAGAGCGCUCUUUUCACUUUCAAUGCCUGCAGCUUUAGAGUGACUGUUGCAGCAGACAUGUUGAGUAAUGUAUGGAGACUGCCAACUCGGUUGUUUGAGGAAAGAUUACUUAAUGGCAGACAAUGGGGUAUUUGAUAAUUCAUAUCUUUGAAGCAGCUCAUGUUCAUGUUGCUCUCAUUGUCCAAAUAGAAAUAUAGAAUUUGAGUACGUGUGAGGGAGGAAAUUUAGGGACUUUUAUAUUCAGUAACCCUCAUUGGUUGAGUACUAUAAUUGUUUAAUC